GGAAGGGCACGGCGUAGUCGGUGCCGACGGUGCCGUCGCCGAGGGACGCGACCGGGUUGGUGAGGUCCCAGACCAGCAGCGACUUGUCGCGGGAGCCGGACACGAUGUAGGGCGAGUUGUCGAUCGGCGCCGCGAUCGCCGUCACCACGUCGUUGUGGCCGCGCAUCGUGCCCACCAGGGUGAGCGACUCCUGCAUGUUCGCCAUGGCUGCCGCGGGGAGAUUGGUGGGGCGGAGCUCGCGGCG
This 244-nucleotide long non-coding RNA is filed under the name Hordeum vulgare. Its description in RNAcentral is "long non-coding RNA (HVUL_LNC002288)". The record is from RNAcentral. Lineage: Eukaryota; Viridiplantae; Streptophyta; Magnoliopsida; Poales; Poaceae.